This 466-nucleotide ribosomal RNA is filed under the name uncultured bacterium. RNAcentral's name for it is "partial 16S ribosomal RNA". It matches the Rfam family "Bacterial small subunit ribosomal RNA", at positions 29 to 506 of the family's 1533-position model. The record is from RNAcentral.
ACGAACGCUGGCGGCGUGCUUAACACAUGCAAGUCGAACGGAAAGGCCCUGCUUUUGUGGGGUGCUCGAGUGGCGAACGGGUGAGUAACACGUGAGUAACCUGCCCUUGACUUUGGGAUAACUUCAGGAAACUGGGGCUAAUACCGGAUAGGAGCUCCUGCUGCAUGGUGGGGGUUGGAAAGUUUCGGCGGUUGGGGAUGGACUCGCGGCUUAUCAGCUUGUUGGUGGGGUAGUGGCUUACCAAGGCUUUGACGGGUAGCCGGCCUGAGAGGGUGACCGGCCAAAUUGGGCCGGAGAAACGGCCCAGACCCCUGCGGGGGGGAGGAGGGGGGAAUUUUGCAAAAGGGGGGGAAGCCUGAUGCAGCAACCCCGGGGGGGGGAGGAGGGCCUUGGGGUUGUAAACCGCUUUCCCCUGGAACGAAGCGGGGGGGACGGUAAUGGGAAAAGAAGCACCGGCAAACUACGU